AGCAUAUUAAUAAGCGGAGGAAAAGAAACUAACAAGGAUUCCCUCAGUAACGGCGAGUGAAGCGGGAAGAGCUCAAAUUUGAAAUCUCCGAUGCUUGCAUCGGCGAGUUGUAGUUGCGAGAAGCACUUUCUAGGUGGAUCGCCGGUGCCUAAGUUGCUUGGAACAGCACGUCGCAGAGGGUGACAACCCCGUCUGUGGCGCCGGCGGCCGCUGACGAUGUGCUUUCGAAGAGUCGGGUUGUUUGGGAAUGCAGCCCAAAAUGGGUGGUAAACUCCAUCUAAAGCUAAAUACUGGCGUGAGACCGAUAGCGAACAAGUACCGUGAGGGAAAGAUGAAAAGAACUUUGAAAAGAGAGUUAAAAAGUACGUGAAACCGUCGGAAGGGAAACGAAUGGACUCAGCAAUGCGCCCUCUGAGAUUCAGCCGGUGGGUGGCGUCGGCGCUGGGUUUGCGGAUCUGAAUGGACCGCGGCCCGGCGCUCGGUGUCCCCCGCCGUCGCACUUCUCUGGGGCGCGCGUCAACGUGGGUUGGGACUGGGUCUGAAAGGUGCCGGGAAGGUAGGUGUGGGCCUUCGGGUCCGUUCUGUUACAGCCCGGCUCUCUCAUGGCUCGGGCCCGACCGAGGAGUGAGACAGGGCAUGCCUCCUGUGGCUAGGGUCCCGUCCUUCCGGCCGGCUGUCCAGUGUGGUGGACUGCUUGCAGUGCUCCGCGACGGCUGCCGGUCGUUGGGGUGGUGAUCUCGUACCAUGCCCUUAGGAUGUUGGCGG
RNAcentral lists this ribosomal RNA (765 nucleotides) under Goniastrea retiformis. Its description in RNAcentral is "eukaryotic LSU rRNA". It matches the Rfam family "Eukaryotic large subunit ribosomal RNA", at positions 37 to 632 of the family's 3401-position model. Lineage: Eukaryota; Metazoa; Cnidaria; Anthozoa; Scleractinia; Merulinidae. The record is from RNAcentral.